UUCCACUCCCUGACUGCACUCCCACACAACUCCUUCCUCAUCUUCUUGCUUGAAGUUGUCCCUAUUUUGCCUUCAGCUUUGGUAGAAUGCUGGUUGCCUAUGAGGAUGAUGGAGAGAUUUGAAUGCGAAUCGGCGAUUUUGGGGACAAGUUCGAUAGUAGUGAAGGUGAAUAAGGGUUUGGAGCCAGCGAUUUGCUUGGCUUUCCCUGGACAACCAGAAUUCUACCAAAGCUGAUUUGGAGAAAAUUCUUGUGUUUCUAUCAUUGUGUGCCAUCAUCUUGUGUUUCUGGUUCUGAAGCUUUUGCAGACUGAUUUGAGGAAAAUUUCUUCCGCCGAUCUCGUGCUCUUUGUAAGUUCCAGUUCCAUCAACUCUCUCUGAGUCAUAUAUAUAUUUUUCCUUUUUAUUUUUUUAGUCAUUUUUCUGGAAAUUUAAUUGAUUUUCUUAUAUUUCAUCUAAUGUUUUAUGAUGGACUAUUAACUGACAAACGUGAGGGUGGGGUUAUAACCCA
Molecule: unclassified non-coding RNA, 508 nt
Filed under: Hevea brasiliensis (rubber tree)
Lineage: Eukaryota; Viridiplantae; Streptophyta; Magnoliopsida; Malpighiales; Euphorbiaceae
Source: RNAcentral